Suricata suricatta (meerkat) is the source of this 626-nucleotide long non-coding RNA. RefSeq lists it as uncharacterized. Lineage: Eukaryota; Metazoa; Chordata; Mammalia; Carnivora; Herpestidae. The record is from RefSeq and is a predicted model, not a curated record. The transcript is spliced from 5 exons.
GUUUUGGGGUUAUGGGAGGUAUUCAUGAGAACAAACAGCCAAGAAAGAAUUCUUGAAGACGUCUUUGGUGCAAAAAACAAAAAAAAAGGAUUUCUUUCAAAAACUGAUUUUACUUCAAUCACAAAACUCUUCUUUACAAUGGGACUUGAAGAAUAUCUUUAACACGAAGAUCAUAUUGUCCCAAAACUAGCACCAUCACUCUCUUAAAAUGCCAACGUCUAACUCCAGUGUGGGGAUUUAGGAACCAAGCCACCUCUACCAGAAAUAGAGCGAUGGAUCAAAAUGAGGAAACAACAGAGGAGUUCACCAUUCUUAACUGGUAUCCGCUGAAUUUCUCUGAAACCACCGAUUUAAAAACAGAAAUGAAUGAGUAUAAUCAGCUACAAGUGAACACAGGCUCUAAUUUCAGAGAAGGGGGAGAAUGAAGAGAAGUGGAGAUGCCAUUAACUCGAUUUCCACUCAGUAGCUGGAUCUACAACAGGCUGCAGACGGAGUGUGGGCCUGUCAAAAGGCAGCUGGACGUACAGCAGUUUUCACUUCAGAAAAGCAAGAAUCACGGGGUGCUUGGGUGGCUCAGGUGGUUGAGUGGCUUCUGCUCAGGUCAUGAUCUUGCAGCUCGUGACUUU